RNAcentral lists this ribosomal RNA (279 nucleotides) under uncultured bacterium. Its description in RNAcentral is "partial 16S ribosomal RNA". It matches the Rfam family "Bacterial small subunit ribosomal RNA", at positions 506 to 784 of the family's 1533-position model. The record is from RNAcentral.
UGCCAGCCGCCGCGGUAAUACGGAGGGUGCAAGCGUUAAUCGGAAUCACUGGGCGUAAAGAGCACGUAGGCGGACUAGUCAGUCAGAGGUGAAAUCCCAGGGCUCAACCCUGGAACUGCCUUUGAUACUGCUAGUCUUGAAUAUCGAAGAGGGUGGCGGAAUGCGCAGUGUAGAGGUGAAAUUCGUAGAUAUUGCGUAGAACACCAGUGGCGAAGGCGGCCACCUGGGAGAAUAUUGACGCUGAGACGCGAAAGCGUGGGGAGCAAACAGGAUUAGAUA